This 324-nucleotide ribosomal RNA is filed under the name uncultured eukaryote. RNAcentral's name for it is "partial 18S ribosomal RNA". It matches the Rfam family "Eukaryotic small subunit ribosomal RNA", at positions 1470 to 1796 of the family's 1831-position model. The record is from RNAcentral.
CCCUUAGAUGUCCUGGGCUGCACGCGCGCUACACUGAUGUGUCCAGUAAGCACCUAACCUCUUCCGAAAGGAACGGGUAACCUUUGCAAAGCACAUCGUGAUGGGGAUAGAUUAUUGCAAUUAUUAGUCUUGAACGAGGCAUUCCUAGUAAGCACAAGUCAUCAGCUUGUGUUGAUUACGUCCCUGCCCUUUGUACACACCGCCCGUCGCUCCUACCGAUUGAAUGUUCCGGUGAGCUCUUCGGACUGCGCGGUCUGCAGUUUCUGCGUUCCGUGCGGAAAGUUGCGCAAACCUUAACAUUUAGAGGAAGGAGAAGUCGUAACA